RNAcentral lists this long non-coding RNA (538 nucleotides) under Brassica napus (rape). Its description in RNAcentral is "long non-coding RNA (BNAP_LNC011255)". The record is from RNAcentral. Lineage: Eukaryota; Viridiplantae; Streptophyta; Magnoliopsida; Brassicales; Brassicaceae.
AGAGGUGUAUUGUCUUGUGCACCAUAAAGCUACAUUAUAUUUAUGUGAGAGUUAUGGUUUUGCUUAUCAUAUGUUAUUGAUUCAUCAAUGUUUAUGCAAAUAUAUAUAUGGAAGAUCUUUAUGAAGACUUCACUGAAUUCAGAUUGGAUAAAAGAAAGCUCAGGGAAUAAAGAUUUCAUCAUAUUUUCUUUUUGUUGAUAACAGGAAUAAAAUUAUUCACGUGAAGUUAAGAGGAUUGAUGAAAUAACCCUAAAUCCUCUUUCAUUUUCUCUUACGGAGGAAUGAUUUUUAAUUAAUUUUGAGAAAAAUGAUUUUUAAUUUUUAGAAAAAAAGGAAGCUAGAAAUGGUAUAAUCCUCCAGCCGGCCCAAAUAAAAAUCAUGUUUUCAUUGUACUAUUUAGUAUCGAAUAGUAGCUUUCGUAAACUGAUUGCAUCCUUAACAUUCAAUAACCGAUAAUGUGGUUUAAUAUAAAAAAAUACAAUACUAUAAAUAAUCAAAACACUACGAGAAAAUGUGCCCAUAACAACGAAGAUUUAUG